RNAcentral lists this ribosomal RNA (671 nucleotides) under eukaryotic picoplankton environmental sample. RNAcentral's name for it is "bacterial SSU rRNA". It matches the Rfam family "Eukaryotic small subunit ribosomal RNA", at positions 67 to 745 of the family's 1831-position model. The record is from RNAcentral.
AAAUAAUUUUACUGUGAAACUGCGGAUGGCUCAUUAAAUCAGUUAUAGUUUAUUUGAUAGUCGCUUACUACAUGGAUAACCGUGGUAAUUCUAGAGCUAAUACAUGCGUGAAGACCCGACUUCUGGGAGGGUCGUAUUUAUUAGAUACAAAGCCAAUGCGGGGCAACCCGGUCUUUUGGUGAAUCAGAAUAACUGAACGGAUCGCAUGGCCUCGUGCCGGCGAUGAAUCAUUCAAAUUUCUGCCCUAUCAACUUUCGAUGGUAAGGUAUUGGCUUACCAUGGUUACAACGGGUAACGGGGAAUUAGGGUUCGAUUCCGGAGAGGGAGCCUGAGAAAUGGCUACCACUUCCAAGGAAGGCAGCAGGCGCGCAAAUCACCCAAUCCUGACACAGGGAGGUAGUGACAAUAAAUAACAAUGCGGAGCUCUCUGAGUUUCGCAAUUGGAAUGAGAACAAUGUAAACACCUUAGCGAGAACCAAUUGGAGGGCAAGUCUGGUGCCAGCAGCCGCGGUAAUUCCAGCUCCAAUAGCGUAUAUUAAAGUUGUUGCAGUUAAAAGCUCGUAGUUGGAUUUCAGGGCCUGGAGUGCGGUCCGCCGAAGGCGAGCACCGCAUCUCUGGGGCCACCUUCCUGAGGACCCGUGUGCCCUUUACUGGGUGUGCGUGGGAGUCAG